AAAGUCGUAACAAGGUUUCCGUAGGUGAACCUGCGGAAGGAUCAUUAAAAAAGUACGUGCACGGCCGUCGUGGACCCUUCCGCGAUGUGUGCCGUAUGCCGAUACACCCGGGCCUACCUCUGCCAGCCUCCCUCGACGAGGGGGGUCGGACCACCGGAGGAAGGUUUCAUGUGUCCACCCAUUGUGAAACUCUUCCAUAUGCUUCGGCAGCACUUCGCGGGCAACUGCGGGGGUAAGGCUGCCAGAAGCCCAUCUCAAAACCAGUUGAUAAAAAAAUAUCAUGCCGUCUGAUAACCUUUUUUGAGAAAUCAAAUUUACAUUAAAACUUUCAGCAACGGAUCUCUUGGUUCUC
Molecule: unclassified non-coding RNA, 352 nt
Filed under: Ascomycota sp.
Lineage: Eukaryota; Fungi; Ascomycota
Description: partial contains small subunit ribosomal RNA, internal transcribed spacer 1, and 5.8S ribosomal RNA
Rfam family: Eukaryotic small subunit ribosomal RNA (bases 1-47)
Source: RNAcentral